This 1118-nucleotide ribosomal RNA is filed under the name Ophiopholis aculeata (daisy brittle star). RNAcentral's name for it is "eukaryotic LSU rRNA". It matches the Rfam family "Eukaryotic large subunit ribosomal RNA", at positions 655 to 1679 of the family's 3401-position model. Lineage: Eukaryota; Metazoa; Echinodermata; Ophiuroidea; Amphilepidida; Ophiactidae. The record is from RNAcentral.
UGAAGCACGGACCAAGAAGUCUAACGGACACGCAAGUCGAAGGGUCGUAUACGAAACCCCGAGGCGCAAUGAAAGUGAAGGUCGGUGUAGGCCGCCUUCGGUGGGAUCCCAGGUCUACCCACGGCCAGGGCGCACCACCGCCCCGUCUCACCCCGCAUUGUUCGGAGAGGCGGAGGAAGAGCGUGUACGCUAGGACCCGAAAGAUGGUGAACUAUGCCCGAGCAGGAUGAAGCCAGAGGAAACUCUGGUGGAGGUCCGCAGCGAUUCUGACGUGCAAAUCGAUCGCCCGACUUGGGUAUAGGGGCGAAGGACUAAUCGAACCAUUCUAGUAGCUGGUUCCCUCCGAGUUUCCCUCAGGGAUAGCUGGCGCUCAAUUGAAUGAUCAUAUGUUUUAUCUGGUAAAGCGAAUGAUUAGAGGUCUUGGGGUCGAAACGACCUCAACCUAUUCUCAAACUUUAAAUUGGUAUGAACUCCGACUCGCUGACUUGGAGCCGGAGCCUUACAGAUAGAAAUGAGAGCAGCCCAGUGGGCCACUCUUGGUAAGCAGGACUGGCGCUGCGGGAUGAACCGUAAAACGCCGGGUUAAAGCGCUUCACUUCCCGCUCUCUGUCGCUCAUCAGACCCCAGAAAAGGUGUUGGUUGAUAUAGACAGCAGGACGGUGGCCAUGGAAGUUGGAAUCCGCUAAGGAGUGUGUAACAACUCACCUGCCGAAUCAACUAGCCCUGAAAAUGGAUUGCGCUGAGCGUGACGCUUAUACCCGGCCGUCGACGGCAGUAAAGUACGCCUCGACGAGUAGGAGGGACGCCGUGGUGAGCAACGAAGCGACGGCCGAGAGGCCGCGCGGAGCCGCCACGGGUGCAGAUCUUGGUGGUAGUAGCAAAUACUCAAGUGAGAGCCUUGAGGGCCGAGUUGUGGAGAAGGGUUCCAUGUGAACAGCCGUUGCACAUGGGUCAGUCGAUCCUAAGGCCUAGGGUAGUUCCGCUCUGAGCGGCGGUGCGAGCCUGCCUUGUGUGGGUUAGCGCCCCCUGGCCGAAAGGGAAUCGGGUCAAUAUUCCCGAACCUGAAGGUGGAGCCCGCCAACUUUAGUUGGUCAGAGCUGCAAAGCUAGGAGCCCGAA